CGCUGGCGGCGUGCUUAAUACAUGCAAGUCAACUUGACUUAGAUAGCAAUAUCGAAAAGUAGGGUGGCGCACGGGUGCGUAACGCGUAGGUAAUCUGCCCUGAGGUCUGACAUAACCCGUCGAAAGGCGGGCUAACAUCAGAUGAUAUAUAAUCACGACAUCGUGGAAAUAUCAAAUCCUCGGAGCCUUGGGAUGAGCCUGCGUCUGAUUAGGUAGUUGGCGGAGUAAUAGCCCACCAAGCCUACGAUCAGUAGCUGGUCUGAGAGGAUGAUCAGCCACACUGGAACUGAGACACGGUCCAGACUCCUACGGGAGGCAGCAGUAAGGAAUAUUGCUCAAUGGGGGAAACCCUGAAGCAGCAACGCCGCGUGAAGGAUGAAAUACUUUGUAUGUAAACUUCUGUAAGAUGGGAAAAAUAUUCUCCUCGGGAGAAUUGAUUGUACCAUCAGAGUAAGCCCCGGCUAACUACGUG
RNAcentral lists this ribosomal RNA (472 nucleotides) under uncultured bacterium. RNAcentral's name for it is "bacterial SSU rRNA". It matches the Rfam family "Bacterial small subunit ribosomal RNA", at positions 34 to 507 of the family's 1533-position model. The record is from RNAcentral.